GGCUAGGUAGCUCAGUCGGUAGAGCAAGGGACUGAAAAUCCCUGUGUCGGCGGUUCGAUUCCGUCCCUAGCCACCA
RNAcentral lists this transfer RNA (76 nucleotides) under Alphaproteobacteria bacterium. RNAcentral describes it as "tRNA-Phe". It matches the Rfam family "tRNA". Rfam says of the family: Transfer RNA (tRNA) molecules are approximately 80 nucleotides in length. Their secondary structure includes four short double-helical elements and three loops (D, anti-codon, and T loops). Further hydrogen bonds mediate the characteristic L-shaped molecular structure. tRNAs have two regions of fundamental functional importance: the anti-codon, which is responsible for specific mRNA codon recognition, and the 3' end, to which the tRNAs corresponding amino acid is attached (by aminoacyl-tRNA synthetases). tRNAs cope with the degeneracy of the genetic code in two manners: having more than one tRNA (with a specific anti-codon) for a particular amino acid; and 'wobble' base-pairing, i.e. permitting non-standard base-pairing at the 3rd anti-codon position. The record is from RNAcentral. Lineage: Bacteria; Pseudomonadati; Pseudomonadota; Alphaproteobacteria.